GACGAACGCUGGCGGCGUGCCUAAUACAUGCAAGUCGAACGCAGUGGGGACGGGUGAGUAACACGUGGGUAACCUCCCAUCAGAAGGGAUAACACUUGGAAACAGGUGCUAAACCGAUACUGAUGGAUGGACCCGCGGUGCAUUAGCUAGUUGGGGAGGUAACGGCUCACCAAGGCCACGAUGCAUAGCAGACCUGAACGGGGAAUCGGCAACACUGGGACUGGGACACGGCCCAGAGUCCUACGGGAGACAGCAGGAGGGAAACUUCGGCAAGGGACGAAGGUCUGACCGAGCAACGCCGCAUGAGUGAAGAAGGUUUUCGGAUCAUAAAACUCUGUUGUUAGAGAAGCGGUAUCUAACCAGAAAGCCACGGCUAACUACGUGCCAGCAGCCGCGGUAAUUC
This 403-nucleotide ribosomal RNA is filed under the name uncultured bacterium. RNAcentral's name for it is "partial 16S ribosomal RNA". It matches the Rfam family "Bacterial small subunit ribosomal RNA", at positions 28 to 526 of the family's 1533-position model. The record is from RNAcentral.